GGGGUUUAUGUUCUGGGUAUACAAUGACAACCCAAAGAGUAUCCUAAGCUGCGGUUCUCGAAUAAGCAUUUUUUUUUGUCCAGGUUUUGUUCGUUUCUUGAUGUUGCUGCCGGUGGUAUAUUUCUUGUACAUGCGUCGGACGUGGCCGGGUUGUCGGUGGUUAGUGUGUGCGGUUAUAUUUGACUUUUGGCCCCGGUGCGGGUAUGUACAUCGUAUUUGCGGCGCUGCUAAUGCAUGUCGAUGCCAAUAAAGGCGUCACUUGCGGUCUGCCCGCUCCCUCUUGCUGUUUAUCUUGCUGUUCACACCUGCAAAAACUUCUCGACGAACCAGAAAUUUUCCUCUUUUUGUACAGCAGUUUUCCCUGGCACUCGAAUACACUGCCCCGCAACCACUCAUCAUCGCCGUUCCUUUAGAAAUUCGUGUAAAUUGAAUUUAUUGAGGCGUGCGUGUGUGCGUAGUUGAUGGCUCUGGUGCGCGGUGGUGCAAAUUGGCUCCCACACCAUUCACAUUUACGAGGCGCUGGGUGCCACUUUCGAGAGCUGCCCUCCCGAUCGGGCCUUCCGGCGACAGCUGCAGCUGCCUCGUCGCUGCCGCUGCUGUCGACCUUAAUUUGCUGACCAGAUGAUGC
RNAcentral lists this long non-coding RNA (628 nucleotides) under Drosophila guanche. The record is from RNAcentral. Lineage: Eukaryota; Metazoa; Arthropoda; Insecta; Diptera; Drosophilidae.